Erpetoichthys calabaricus (reedfish) is the source of this 1068-nucleotide long non-coding RNA. RefSeq lists it as uncharacterized. The transcript is spliced from 3 exons. The record is from RefSeq and is a predicted model, not a curated record. NCBI's taxonomy places the organism in Eukaryota, Metazoa, Chordata, Cladistia, Polypteriformes, Polypteridae.
UGAUCUUCUCACAUUGCUGUCUUUUCCACAGAUCCAGCCCUCCACUUCUCUACGUGCAGCUAAGGACCUGACUGGAGGCCUCAUGGAGCCCUCAGGGUGUUCGUGUGGGAAGAUGAGGACCCCCUGGAGUGGGUGGAUGACCAAGGGGUGGGGCUACCCUGACAUCACUGCCGAAGGACCGCCCUCAGCCUGUAUACUGCCUCACAUCCUUUCGCUAUAGGGAAUGCACUCAGAAGAUGACAUUUUUUCCUUCUCAUGUGUGUUCCGGCUGUUGCUGUAGGCUGAGAGAAAUCCUACAAUCGGAAGAUUUCAAUCUCGCUGCUUGUGUGUGCUGAAUUUUUUUGCUCAGAGUUUUUUUGGCUCGCCACUCCAACAGUUUAGGAAAGAAAAAAAUCGUUUUUCCAAUAAACAUCAUCUGAGACUUGAAGCUGAACUGGGUCACAGGGCCUACUGGCUGCUGUGUACUGCGGAGCCGACAGGCGGCUCUCAAGUGUGCCGGCGGUGGCUCCAGGCACAGGCUUGUUGCUCUUAUCAGCUCCUUUACACAAUGCUGCUCUCCUUCCAAAAAAAUGAAAAGUAAAUGUUUUAGUAAUUCUAAAAGGCUAAGUACCUAAAGAUGUAAUGGAUAUGCUUGUUGGACCUUUAAGUUUUUCCUUCUCCCUGUUUUUUUAUUUAAACCACACUACUUUCCACUCCGCUUUCUCUUUCCCCGGCACUGGAAAAUGAAACUUCCUGCAGCAUUGAGGGUUUGCUUUUGACCGGCGAUGCUGCAAUUUGAUCAGCACUUAUGGCCUCCGCGGCUAAUUAUUUCAUUUUUAUUUUCCUGCUCGUCACUCUAAAUUGUUUUGAAAAUGAACAAUGGUGGGGUGUGACAAUCCUGUCCCCUCUCCUGCUCUUCACCCGUCACUGUUUUGGGUUUGAAUUCAAAACGUGUGCCUGCUGCUUGUGACCACUGGGGCACGUUUGGUCAAUUUUGUAAUCUAGCGUUGGCCAACUUUCCUGGUUUUCUGAAUCCGUGACAUCAAUUUGGUCCAUUGUUUCAAUUCUGUUAAUUUAUUCUAACCAGUA